AUCACUGUUCAUAUCGAACACACCCGAUUUUAUUUUUCCCAUAAUUCUUUGCAACGUGCUUGGCCGACCCUAACAAUAGGCGCUAAGUUAUACCCGGCCGAGCUGUCCAGCGAUUAAGACGUGCUUAGUGUGUGAAGGGGGUAUCGUGUUAGAAGCCUGUGUGGCAUGUUUUAGUUUCACAAGUUCAGCAUUUGACGCGGACACGGAUAGCUGACCGUGGUAAGUAUUUAUUUAGUUUGGUGUAGUUUAUUUGUAAAUUUUUGCCUUUUUAUUAGUAUUACGCAGUCGUCCUAUAAAGUCACCUUGACCAUUGUUCACUGUAGAGUUACCUGUGUGUUCACUGAUGUGUGACUUUAGCGAGAGUGUUUAAAUGGAAUUCGUCUUUUUCUAUAGUACAGUUUUUGCUAUUGCUGUAUAAAGAAACGGUGAUUUAAAGGGCUAUUUUCUAUGCGUUAUUUUAUUUUACAAUUUAUGGUCACUUUUUCCACUUAACUACUUGGGCGGAAGUGCGUCACCGGAAGUCUCAGACGCCAUAUUGUUUACUGUAAACAAAUAACUUAGUUACCAUAUACUUACAAUAUUUUGAGAUGUUGCCUUUAAUAUAAUACUAUUUAUACAUUAUCAUAGUUUGAUACUAUCAGUGAGAUACUUAUAUGAUGUAUUAUACAAUAUUGUUUUUAUUAUGGUGUUAUGGUGUCACUUGUACACUUAUUGUAGUGUCAUAUUGUUGAUGUUGAUGACGACGAUGAUGUUAUGAUGUCGAUGACUACGAUGAUGAUGAUGGUCAUGUCGAUGAUGAUGGUGUAGAUGAUGUUAUGGUGAAGUCGAUGACGAUGCGAUGUUCAUGUUGAUGACGACGAUGAUGUUAUGGUGAUGAUGACGACGACGAUGAUGAUGGUCAUGUCGAUGAAGAUGAUGUAGAUGAUGUCGUUCAUGGUGACGUCGGUGAUGAUUAUGAAGUAGAUGAUUAUGGUGAUGACGAUGAUGUCUAUUAUGAUUAUGGUGUUGUAGGCGAUGGUGUUGAUGAUAGUGUCGAUGAUUAUGAUGACGAUGGUGAUGAUGAUGAUUGUGGUGACGAAACUACUCUAGUUGUGGUUGUCCGUAGUUGGUCCAGGACUACAGCCCCGGAGAUUCGGACACUCUUCUAAUUUAUUUUUGGUCAUUUGUAUAAACAUCAUAUUUUUUCUUGUUGAGUGAAAGUUGUGUGAGUGUUUGUGUGGUUUAGUGUUUAUAUUUCUAUCUUUUCUUUCUUUCUCUUAUUUUUUUUGUUAUUAAAUUUUGUUAAAUUUAAGAUAUCUUGUUGUUUGGAGUAGCCUCCGCUCAUCCCGUUACAAUUGGUGGCAGCGGUGGGAUGAGUUGACUCCUCCAGAUACUACAAGAUAUCUUUAUAAGUGAACAGUUGCCAAGGUUUAUUUUAUUUUUCAUUUUUUGAUCUUUUUUGUAGUACAUGUAAGAGCAAGUGUAGGUCGUUGUUUCCUUUUCCCUUGGUGAGUACGUUACGUUAGGCAGAUUGUUUUGUUAAAAGUUGAGAAGUUAGUCCCUUUAUGAGAUAAUUUUGAGGUAAGUUGGUCUGUCAGUCAAUGCACCAUGUCUACUGUCAAGGAGAUGCUGGAGCUACUUGAAGUGGGGACCAAGAUGGGGAUGAAGGAUGAAGACCUUCAACAAUUCGUGAAGGACGAACAGGCCAGAAUGCGGGACGAACGUGAGAAACAUAGAGUCGAGAGACAGGAGGAGAGAGACCGCGACUUCAAACUACAGAUGGAGAAAGAGCGCGCCGCAAGAGAACAUGAUGAGCGAGAGCACGCCCGAUUGAGAGAACAUGAUGAGCGAGAGCACGCCCGAUUGAUAGAAGAAAAGAGACAUCAGCAAAAACUAGAAGAACUGGAACUUGAUCACAAACUGCAACUCGAGAGAUCUCACAUGAAGCCGAGUGUUGUGACUAAAGAGGAGAAAGAAACUUCUCAAGUGAUAAAAGGACCAAAACUUCCUCCGUUUGAGGAUUCGAAAGACAACAUUGACGCGUACAUUCAAAGAUUUGAGAUAUACGCAACAACGCAGAAAUGGAAUAAAGACACGUGGGGGACUCAUCUUAGCGCAUUACUCAAAGGAAAGGCACUGGAUGUGUUCGCAAGACUCUCACCCGAAACAGCACUUGAUUUCAACGAGUUGAAGAACGCCCUGUUGAAACGAUUUGACAUGACGGAGGACGGUUUCCGCAAGAAGUUCCGAUUUUCAAAGCCAGACGGAAGUGAAACUUUUAUGCAAUUUUCUACCAGACUGGACAGUUACCUUGAGCGGUGGAUUCAGCUGUCUAAGACUAACAAGACAUUCGAUGAUCUGAAGGACUUGUUCUUACGUGAACAGUUUUUAUUGUGUUGCUCGAAAGAACUUGCCUUAUUCCUAAAGGAGAGGAUUCCUACUUCGAUCCAAGACAUGGCGCGAUACGCGGACCAGUUUGCUGAGGCCAGAACAGUGACAUCUUCUUCACUUACGCAAAAACCGCUCUUUGACAGACGACAGCAGUCCGAUAGACAACCGCCGUACAAAGAUUCCGUGCAACAAAACCAAUCUGGAAAUGCAGUGAAGUGUUAUGAGUGCGGACGACAAGGACAUAAAGCCUUUAACUGCAACUUCCGCAAAAGUCCGAAUAACAGGCCGUUUAAUUCGAGCGAGAAACAAGAAACAACACCGAAACAUACUUACCCUAGUGAUUUUCAACGUGGGUCGUACAAUAAUGGGAACCAUGGAUAUCCAGGACGCGGUAGAGGUCGCCAAGGAGCCGCGAGUGUCGUCGAGAAACAUGGAAACUUACCGUGUGUUGGUGAUUCGGUUGCUUUCUGUGAAACGGAAAUGCCAGUUGUGAAAGGAUGUGUUGGCAAUAAACUAGUGACUGUGCUAAGAGACACAGGUUGUAGUGGUGCCGUUAUUCGUAGAGAACUGGUAAACGAUGAUCAACUAACAGGGACAUCUCAACGAUGCAAGUUAGCAGACGGUCGUAUUAUUGAUUCAGAUGUGGCUAGAAUUGAUGUCGAUACUCCUUACUUUACCGGAAGUGUUGAUGCUUGGUGCUUUGAUUCGCCUUCGUACGAUCUUAUUCUUGGUAAUAUUCGUGGAGUAAGGAAACCACAUGAACCAAAUCCAGCCUGGAUUCAUUCCGUUGAAAACAUAGCAGCUGUUGAAACGCGUGCGCAACUGAAAAAGAAACAGUCUCCAUACAAACCAUUGAAAGUACCGGAAGCAAUACGGGAUGUAUCGCCGGAGGAUAUCUUACAAGAACAACGAAACGACGAGACACUGAAAAAGUUAUGGAGCUUAGCUGAGAGUGGACAGCUUAAACAUUUCAGUGACGGCGGAUUUUCAAAAAUGUGUGAACGGAAGCAAAUGUUGUUCAGAGAAUUUUGCAGUCCCAAAGUGUCCAGUGGAAAACUUUUCCGACAGUUAAUCGUUCCUCGGAAAUACAGAACUAUCGUUAUGAGGAUAGCACAAGAAACGCUGAUGGGUGGUCAUCUGGGAUCAAAGAAAACAACCGACAGAGUAGUGUCCGAAUUUUACUGGCCAGGAAUUCAGUCAGACAUUAGACGGUUUUGCAGAUCGUGUGACGUGUGUCAGCGGACUAUUCCGAAAGGAAAAGUACCGGCAGUACCGUUAGGACAGAUGGACUACAAUAUCGAUAUGGGAGGCAAGCUGAAAACUUUCCACGCAAAUCUUCUUAAGAAGUAUGUUGAACGAGAUACAUUGAACUGUGGUGUUUUGUCAACAUGUGCAAUUUCACUCAUAGACUUUAGUGACCUAGAUGAUGAUGAACAACAGGACUCUAUUCUUAUGCCACCUGUUACUCAAACCGAAACAGCAAAGGACAUAAAGUUUGCAGACAGACUAACACCAGAUCAGUUGGAAACUGCUAAAUCACUGUGUGAUUCGUUCUCAGAUGUAUUUACGGAUAUACCUGGAAUUACAAACUUAGUGGAGCAUAAGAUUGUUGUGACAUCGUCUGAACCUGUGCGUGUGAAACCAUAUCCAAUUCCGUUCAGUACAGAGAAAACAAUUACAGAAGAAGUUCAGAAAAUGCUACAGUUGAAUGUGAUUGAGCCAUCAUCUUCCCCUUAUUCAGCUCCAGUUGUCAUAGCUCGGAAGAAAGAUGGAACGAAUCGAUUUUGCAUUGAUUAUAGACGACUGAACUGUGCUACGGUAUUUGAUGCAGAACCAAUGCCCAGUCCAGAAAGCAUAUUUUCCAAAAUGACCGGAAAGAAGUUUGUGUCAAAGAUAGACUUAAGCAAAGGAUACUGGCAAGUACCGAUGGCUGACGAGAGUAAGCCGCUUACAGCCUUUUCCACACCAUCCGGAUUGUACCAAUUCAGGACAAUGCCGUUUGGUCUUGUAAACGCGCCGGCAACAUUUAGUCGUAUGAUGAGAAAAAUACUUCAAGGUAUGAACGGCGUAGAAAACUUUAUCGAUGAUGUCAUUGUUUUUACAGAUACCUUUGAAGAACAUCUACACAUACUGAAGACUGUGUUCGAACGACUCAGAGAUGCGGGACUUGCGGCCAGACCGACAAAAUGUUUCAUCGGAUUUGACAAGAUUGACUGUUUGGGACAUAUGGUGGGCAACAAGUGUCUAGAACCAGAACAGGACAAGAUUGAUGCAGUCAGAAAUGCGCCAAUACCACAAACCAAGAAACAGGUUCGUGCCUUCCUAGGCUUAGCAGGAUUCUACAGAAAGUUUAUUCCGAAUUUCUCUGCGAUAGCCAUUCCACUUUCCGAUCUUACGAAGAAGGGCCAACCAAAUAAAGUUAUUUGGACUGAAAGUCAGCAACGAGCUUUUGAUACAUUGAAACACAUGUUAUCAGAAAGGCCAAUAUUGAAGUUGCCAGAAUUUAAUGAAACCUUCAUUUUACGCACGGACGCUGCAGAUGAUGGGAUAGGUGCUGUGCUGUUACAGAUGGAGGAUGACGAGAAACUACCCGUAGCGUACGCCAGUAGGAAACUUCAACCAAGAGAAAAGGCAUACGCUGUUAUCGAGAAGGAGUGUUUGGCGGUAGUGUGGGGAAUACAGAAGUUCCACCAGUACCUUUAUGGACGCGAGUUUCUACUUGAAACUGAUCACCAACCCCUGACCUACCUUAACAAAGCAAAGACAGAGAACUCCAGACUGAUGCGUUGGGCUUUGCAGCUUCAGCCAUACCGUUUUAGGAUCAUUGCGAUCAAAGGAAGCGACAAUGUGGGUGCGGAUUACCUGAGUCGUCAGUGAGAUGUAUAGUAAACAGUACAGGUAUGUAUAUAGGUUUUAUUGUAAAUACGUGAGAAUUUUCAAAAUUCAGUGAUUGUUUAUUUGAAAUUGCAGGACAAGUUUUUAAGGGGGGAGGUGUGUGACAAUCACUGUUCAUAUCGAACACACCCGAUUUUAUUUUUCCCAUAAUUCUUUGCAACGUGCUUGGCCGACCCUAACAAUAGGCGCUAAGUUAUACCCGGCCGAGCUGUCCAGCGAUUAAGACGUGCUUAGUGUGUGAAGGGGGUAUCGUGUUAGAAGCCUGUGUGGCAUGUUUUAGUUUCACAAGUUCAGCAUUUGACGCGGACACGGAUAGCUGACCGUGUGUCAUAUUGUUGAUGUUGAUGACGACGAUGAUGUUAUGAUGUCGAUGACUACGAUGAUGAUGAUGGUCAUGUCGAUGAUGAUGGUGUAGAUGAUGUUAUGGUGAAGUCGAUGACGAUGCGAUGUUCAUGUUGAUGACGACGAUGAUGUUAUGGUGAUGAUGACGACGACGAUGAUGAUGGUCAUGUCGAUGAAGAUGAUGUAGAUGAUGUCGUUCAUGGUGACGUCGGUGAUGAUUAUGAAGUAGAUGAUUAUGGUGAUGACGAUGAUGUCUAUUAUGAUUAUGGUGUUGUAGGCGAUGGUGUUGAUGAUAGUGUCGAUGAUUAUGAUGACGAUGGUGAUGAUGAUGAUUGUGGUGACGAAACUACUCUAGUUGUGGUUGUCCGUAGUUGGUCCAGGACUACAGCCCCGGAGAUUCGGACACUCUUCUAAUUUAUUUUUGGUCAUUUGUAUAAACAUCAUAUUUUUUCUUGUUGAGUGAAAGUUGUGUGAGUGUUUGUGUGGUUUAGUGUUUAUAUUUCUAUCUUUUCUUUCUUUCUCUUAUUUUUUUUGUUAUUAAAUUUUGUUAAAUUUAA
This is an RNA transcript of Magallana angulata, 6164 nucleotides long. RefSeq lists it as uncharacterized. NCBI's taxonomy places the organism in Eukaryota, Metazoa, Mollusca, Bivalvia, Ostreida, Ostreidae. The transcript is spliced from 2 exons. The record is from RefSeq and is a predicted model, not a curated record.